Molecule: long non-coding RNA, 1022 nt
Filed under: Equus asinus (donkey)
Lineage: Eukaryota; Metazoa; Chordata; Mammalia; Perissodactyla; Equidae
Description: lncRNA (ENSEASG00005031343.1)
Source: RNAcentral
AGACAAAGAAUAUCUCUCGAUACUCUUAAAUAUAGAUAUCUGGACUAAAUUGAACUUAGAUGACAAUUACAGUCAAGAUUCUGGAACUCAGAAUGGGCAAAGCAGGAAGAAGAGGAACCUGGUUUGAGGAAGAGGUGGUCCAGUAGUUCUCAAAUUUUAGUGUGCAUCAGAAUCACCUGGAAAGACUAUUAAAAUCCAGAUCGCUGGACCCCAGUCCCUGAGUUUCUGACGCAGUAGGUCUGGAGUGAGCCCAAGGAUGUGCGUUUCUAUGAAGUUUCCAGGAGAUGCUGAUGCUGCUGAUUCAGGGACAACACUUUGGAAACCACUGAGCUAAUGUGCCUUUGUUACCCUUCUUGAUCACAUAACAUGUGAAUUAUGUCUCUUGAAGACUUCCAAUCUUUAUUGAGGGAGAGGAGAAAGGGGCAAUUGAUUGAGGAGAAAGAAACUUGGCUUAAGGGGAAGUGGGCGCCUCCAGAGCACAGUGACCCAAGCUCUGGUCUUGAAGCCACCAAACCUGUGACCUGUGCAAGUGACUUCAUCCCUCUGAAGCUUGGUUUCCUGUAUGCAAAAUGGAAAUGAGAACAAUAUCAAUUCUGCUAAAAACAAGAGACUGUCGAGAUCAAAUGAGAUAAAUACGGAGUGAAACAAUUACCUUCAAAGUGGACAUCUGAAUUCCCCUCUGGGCAAGAACUGUCUUCCAUAAGGAAAAUAUCUUGACUAUUUACUUGAGGGUGGAAAGUGAGACUUGUAGUGCAAGGUCUAAAAGAAGGGAAAAGGCAGUAAAACCGCUCUGAAAGAGAAAUGGCUGGGAAUUGGGAAGGAGAGCACACCCACCGAGGAGGAGGGUGUGACUAAGUAGAAAGGCUGCCAUUUGCAAAAGCACUUUUUAGAACAGGGAUGGUUACUGUUCAGUUUUCAGCUGUUAGUGUUUCUAGAGAUAAAGCUUUCCUUUCUCCCUGAACGUUCAGGAAAAUUGUGGUUUGUUUUGUUGGUGGAAAUCAGGGAAAGGAAAAUGAGUUAUA